Molecule: non-coding RNA, 67 nt
Filed under: bovine gut metagenome
Source: RNAcentral
GUAACAACGAACUGUGAGAAGUCAGCAGAAGCCAUAGUACGGAAAAAAAAUAUAUAUCCGGAAGGGC